RNAcentral lists this ribosomal RNA (496 nucleotides) under uncultured bacterium. Its description in RNAcentral is "partial 16S ribosomal RNA". It matches the Rfam family "Bacterial small subunit ribosomal RNA", at positions 29 to 507 of the family's 1533-position model. The record is from RNAcentral.
AUGAACGCUGGCGGCGUGCCUAAUACAUGCAAGUCGAGCGAACAGACGAGGAGCUUGCUCCUCUGACGUUAGCGGCGGAAGGGUGAGUAACACGUGGAUAACCUACCUAUAAGACUGGGAUAACUUCGGGAAACCGGAGCUAAUACCGGAUAAUAUAUUGAACCGCAUGGUUCAAUAGUGAAAGACGGUUUUGCUGUCACUUAUAGAUGGAUCCGCGCCGCAUUAGCUAGUUGGUAAGGUAACGGCUUACCAAGGCGACGAUGCGUAGCCGACCUGAGAGGGGGAGCGGCCACACUGGAACUGACACAGGUUGCAGACUACAACGGGAGGCGGCACGAGGGAAUGUUCAUCAAGGGGCGAAAUACUGACGAAGCAGUGCUUAGGAAGUAAUUAAGGUAUUAGUAUCGUAAAACUAUGUUAGUAGGGAAGAACAAAUGUGUAAGGAACCAGGCACGUCGGCACGGGACCUAAUCAGAAAGCCACGGCUAACUACGUG